AGCGAACGCUGGCGGCGUGCUUAACACAUGCAAGUCGCGCGGGGAAAAGAGACUUUCGGGUCUUGAGUAGAGCGGCGGACGGGUGCGUAAGACGCGGGUGACCUAUCCGAGAGGCGGGGAUAACCCAGCGAAAGCGGGGCUAAUACCGGAUGAGCCCCCAGGCGGAAACGCGCGGGGGCAAAGGAUGCUACUCGAUAGUGGCAUGUCCUCACGGAGGGGCCCACGGCCUAUCAGCAGUUGGUGUGGUAACGGCGCACCAAGGCGAAGACGGGUAGCUGGUCUGAGAGGAUGGCCAGCCACACGGGGACUGAGACACGGCCCCCGACUCCUACGGGAGGCAGCAGUGGGGAAUAUUGGGCAAUGGGCGCAAGCCUGACCCAGCGACGCCGCGUGGGUGAUGAAGGCCUUCGGGCCGUAAA
Molecule: ribosomal RNA, 419 nt
Filed under: uncultured bacterium
Lineage: Bacteria
Description: bacterial SSU rRNA
Rfam family: Bacterial small subunit ribosomal RNA
Source: RNAcentral